RNAcentral lists this long non-coding RNA (2003 nucleotides) under Homo sapiens (human). RNAcentral describes it as "HSALNT0358344". Lineage: Eukaryota; Metazoa; Chordata; Mammalia; Primates; Hominidae. The record is from RNAcentral.
CCUCUGCCGUGUCAUACAGGUCGCCAGGGAAGUGGGGGAAAGCCGACAGUGACAGGUGUUACCCAGCUCCCACGCAGCUGGAAAGGCUGGUCUCACUGUCAGCAUGCUCCCCCAACAGCAUCAAGUUUAUUUCCAGGCAGCAGGCGAGCAGGGCUGAGAACUUGUCCCAGGCUACAAGCCUCCCUGCUGACAACAGAAGCAGGGCUUUCAGGUUUUAUGCCUCUCUGCCUGCCACAGCUUCUGUGCUUGUAUCUGCACUCCCUGUUUGACCCCCUCCCCAGAUUCUGUCCAGGAAACUUCAUGUUCGGUAGAAAUUGUUAUAAAAUUCAACUGGAAGUUUUCCUCUCCCUCUGGUUUUUCCUCAAUUCCACUGGCAGCCCUCCCCAAGUUGCAAGAUAAAGACAGAAAAGGCUUCCCUGAGGACUGAGAGUGCCCACAGGGCUCUUGCUGCUGCUUUCUCUACCCCUAUAUUUUGUGCGGCUCUCAGCAUUUGUCUCAGCUCCAGGGAGAAGAGAAGGAAAAGCAGAUGAGUGAACAAGGGCAGAUGGUGCUGGAGAAUUCCAUCAAGUGGGCAUCAAGAAGGGACUGGAGGUUAAAACCUUUGGGAUAAAGAAGAAGAAAAAAAGACAAGCUGGUAAAAAAUGGCACCUGGGCACUGUUUGCUGGGCACAAACAUGGCACUGUUUCCUAGGAGAUGAUUCCUCCAGUUCUUUAAGGUAGUAAUGAAUGACAACAAGAAGUUACUUCUCUAUGCUACACACGGUGUAGAAUCCAGAGCCUGACUGGCUGUGACGCGCCCAUGGUGACACCAAGGGGACUCUGCAUGGGCACAUCCCGGCCCUCCUCCCUGCAUGUUCUCCAAGCCAGGUCUUUGAAACCUCCAGUGAUGGGAAUGACAGAAUCUGGGAUGAUUUUCUUCUGUUUCUUAUCUAAAAAAACAACAAAAAGCUCAGCAUACACGGACUCACACAAACCUUUUGCUAGAGGCAGCUCUGUAGACUUAAGACGCUGUCAUUUUUCAGAAGAACCCAGCUUGCUUUGGAACUACAGUCAGCCCUGCAACCCACCCUCACCUUGGACCCUGCUGCUGCUGUCUGUAAAGACAAUGCUGCGAUGAAUACACCUGUGCAUUCUUUUUUAGAACAAGUGUAAGAAUUCCUAUGUGGUAAGUCUGUUUAAAGAGAAUUUCAGAUUCACGUGUAGAUGUGUUAAGUUUGAGCGAUGUUGCCAAACUCUCUUGAACUUAUACCCUCUGUAAUAAUAUAUUGGGAUAUUUGUUUCCUUUUGUUCUUGUCAGUUUUCAUACUAUAAAACUUAAACAUGUUUGACAAUCUGACUGGAAAUGGCUUUGUACUGUUUUAAUUUACUUUUCUUUGCAUUAUGGUAGAUAUCUCUAACUGUCCUCUAGUAUCGACCUUCUUCCUUUUAGUGGUUAAAGACUACAUUUCCCAGCUGCCUUUGCAGCUGGCUGUGGUCAUGUGACUUAGUUCAGGCCAAUGGGAUGAAAGCUUGCCUUGGUCUUCCCCUUUUCCUCUUUCCAGCAGCUGGAAAAGUGCUGACCAGAGCAUUGUUGAAGGCCGUAUAGUAAGAAUGGCAAAGCUUCCCUACCAGCCCAACUGACUGUUUUGUGGUGCAGAGGCCAUCUAUUAUGUGAGAGAGAGCAAUAAAUAUAUAUAUAUAUAUUUUUCUAAGAGACUGGAGUCUCACUAUGUUGCCCAGGCUGGCCUUGAACUCCUGGCCUAAAGCAAUCCUCCCACCUCAGUCUUCCAAGUAGCUGGGACUACAAGUGUGUGCCACCAUGCCCAGCUCUAUAAACGUCUAUUUUUAUUGAGUCCCUAUGUGAGAUCAUUUUCUUGUAGCAGCUUACAUUCUGUACUAAAUUAUACAUGCAAUUUUUCAAAUGUAUUGGACAUUUACACUUUUUCUUCCAUGAUUUGCUUGUUCAAACCAUUUGCUUGUUUUCCAGUUAGGUUUUGCUUUUUACAUAUUUUAAUGGGUAUUCU